This 210-nucleotide ribosomal RNA is filed under the name uncultured bacterium. RNAcentral's name for it is "partial 16S ribosomal RNA". It matches the Rfam family "Bacterial small subunit ribosomal RNA", at positions 524 to 729 of the family's 1533-position model. The record is from RNAcentral.
UACGUAGGGUGCGAGCGUUGUCCGGAAUUAUUGGGCGUAAAGAGCUCGUAGGCGGUGUGUCACGUCGGCCGUGAAAACCUGCAGCUUAACUGUGGGCGUGCGGUCGAUACGGGGCAUCACUGGAGUUCGGCAGGGGAGACUGGAAUUCCGUGGUGAUAGCGGUGAAAUGCGACAGAUAUCAGGAGGAACACCGAUGGCGAAGGCAGCCCC